This 450-nucleotide ribosomal RNA is filed under the name uncultured bacterium. RNAcentral's name for it is "bacterial SSU rRNA". It matches the Rfam family "Bacterial small subunit ribosomal RNA", at positions 29 to 524 of the family's 1533-position model. The record is from RNAcentral.
AACGAACGCUGGCGGCAGGCUUAACACAUGCAAGUCGAACGCCCCGCAAGGGGGAGUGGCGCACGGGUGAGUAACGCGUGGGAAUAUGCCCUUCGGUUCGGAAUAACACAGGGAAACCUGUGCUAAUACCGGAUACGAUCUACGGAUGAAAGAUUCAUCGCCGAGGGAGUAGCCCGCGUCAGAUUAGCUAGUUGGUGGGGUAAUGGCCUACCAAGGCGACGAUCUGUAGCUGGUCUGAGAGGAUGAUCAGCCACACUGGGACUGAGACACGGCCCAGACUCCUACGGGAGGCAGCAGUGGGGAAUAUUGGACAAUGGGGAAACCCUGAUCCAGCCAUGCCGCGUGAGUGAUGAAGGCCUUAGGGUUGUAAAGCUCUUUCGUCGGGGGAAGAUAAUGACGGGUACCCGAAGAAGAAGCCUCGGCUAACUCCGUGCCAGCAGCCGCGGUAAU